UACAUUAACGGGCGAAUUGACCGUAUCCAGACACGGAUGCGUGGGAAUCCGGUGAGAAUCCGGAGCUGACGCGCAGCGGUGAUGGGGACGAUUCCGACACAACCACUGGUGUGUACCGGGAAGGGUCGGGACCGGACGAACCAAGCCCGAAGACCUGUCAAUUCGUCGUUUCGUUG
RNAcentral lists this non-coding RNA (176 nucleotides) under Propionibacterium sp. oral taxon 192 str. F0372. RNAcentral also lists the same sequence under 1 other name. Lineage: Bacteria; Bacillati; Actinomycetota; Actinomycetes; Propionibacteriales; Propionibacteriaceae. The record is from RNAcentral.